AGUCAAGGACUGGGUUGCAAAUUGGCAAUACAUUUGGGACCUGAAAAUAAAGUAAUCAAGACGAAACAAUGAAGGAGAAGAUUUCUUAUCGUGGAAAAUACAAUUUUGGAGCUUAUGGUUCCUGAACAAAUUAUUGGUUUGGUAUAUGGUGAAGGCGGCAGCAAUCUGGCCGAUUGAGACAGAUUUCAGGUGCAAAAGUCGAAGUGCGCGAUGCUUCUUCCAGCAAAAGUGCGAGGUUGGUGGUUAUAUCAGGAACACCUGACCGAACCAGAGCAGCACAGAGCCUGUUUCAAGCCUUCAUUUUAGCAGCUCAGUAAUUUCCAAACCACCUGUCUUAUAUAGUCUUCAGCGGGUUGAUAGACAGAGAAAAUUAGCAAGCUUCAACUUAUAGGAAUAGUAGUUCAAUAUUAAUAUUAAUAUCAAAAUCAUAAAAUAGAAUCAAUAGAUAGAGACUGAUAGGUCAUUGUGACACAAUAUUUAAUCAAUGAAUCUCUUUUAUUAUUA
Long non-coding RNA from Mercurialis annua (annual mercury), 504 nucleotides. RefSeq lists it as uncharacterized. The record is from RefSeq and is a predicted model, not a curated record. NCBI's taxonomy places the organism in Eukaryota, Viridiplantae, Streptophyta, Magnoliopsida, Malpighiales, Euphorbiaceae. The transcript is spliced from 3 exons.